GGGAUUGGAGUCUUGAUCAUGG
Molecule: non-coding RNA, 22 nt
Filed under: Arabidopsis thaliana (thale cress)
Lineage: Eukaryota; Viridiplantae; Streptophyta; Magnoliopsida; Brassicales; Brassicaceae
Source: RNAcentral